AGUGAACGCUGGCGGUAGGCCUAACACAUGCAAGUCGAACGGCAGCACAGUAAGAGCUUGCUCUUACGGGUGGCGAGUGGCGGACGAGUGAGGAAUACAUCGGAAUCUACUUUUUCGUGGGGGAUAACGUAGGGAAACUUACGCUAAUACCGCAUACGACCUACGGGUGAAAGCAGGGGAUCUUCGGACCUUGCGCGAUUGAAUGAGCCGAUGUCGGAUUAGCUAGUUGGCGGGGUAAAGGCCCACCAAGGCGACGAUCCGUAGCUGGUCUGAGAGGAUGAUCAGCCACACUGGAACUGAGACACGGUCCAGACUCCUACGGGAGGCAGCAGUGGGGAAUAUUGGGCAAUGGGCGCAAGCCUGAUCCAGCCAUACCGCGUGGGUGAAGAAGGCCUUCGGGUUGUAAAGCCCUUUUGUUGGGAAAGAAAAGCGGCAGGUUAAUACCCCGCUGUUCUGACGGUACCCAAAGAAUAAGCACCGGCUAACUUCGUG
RNAcentral lists this ribosomal RNA (492 nucleotides) under uncultured bacterium. RNAcentral's name for it is "partial 16S ribosomal RNA". It matches the Rfam family "Bacterial small subunit ribosomal RNA", at positions 29 to 507 of the family's 1533-position model. The record is from RNAcentral.